UUCAGCAAAACAAUCAUAAACGUCAAGAGAUACCGGCACCUACUAGAAUCCCAUUCAGUCAUUAAUAACGAUCCAGUCCAUCAUCAAAAGUAUCCAAUUGUCUUGUGUUUCAUUGUCACAUCUUCUUAAUCUCCUCUGGUCUGCGUGUUGGGGCUGGUCAUCGAGAGGACAUCACUGCCCAUUGACCAACCAAGCUGGACCCCAGUUGCUGGAGGCCCCUCACCGCCUGACCUACCCUUGGAAUGUUUGCUCUACACGUGGUUUCCACACACUGGGAGCUACUUCAAGGAUUGCAGCCUUGAGCUCUUGGGCUGCAGGACACCUGGAUGGCUGUGGGUCCUGAUCCUGAGGCUGACACCGCCAGGAUCUUAAGGGAUGGGGACUCUGCUCUCUGCAUCUUUUGAUAAAAACUGUUGGUCUUCAAAAAAAAAGCAAGGAUGGAGCCUUGAAAAAGCAAUCCAUCAGAAUGGUACACAUGAUUGAACCUCUGGGAAACCUCUAUGUAAACUUUUACAGUUGGUGGGUAGGUGUGCAGACCUCCUUACCCUGCAGUUACCCAAGACAAGCUUCCUUUGUAAGCUUCCUGGCUCAUUAAAACCUUUUAAACCA
Long non-coding RNA from Hyaena hyaena (striped hyena), 609 nucleotides. RefSeq lists it as uncharacterized. Lineage: Eukaryota; Metazoa; Chordata; Mammalia; Carnivora; Hyaenidae. The record is from RefSeq and is a predicted model, not a curated record. The transcript is spliced from 2 exons.